CGAAGGCAAGCGGAUCUCUUAAAGCUGUUCUCAGUUCGGACUGCAGUCUGCAACUCGACUGCACGAAGCUGGAAUCGCUAGUAAUCGCGGAUCAGCACGCCGCGGUGAAUACGUUCCCGGGCCUUGUACACACCGCCCGUCACACCAUGGAAGUCUGCAAUGCCCGAAGCCGGUGGCCUAACCACUUAUGUGGAAGGAGCCGUCUAAGGCAGGGCAGAUGACUGGGGUGAAGUCGUAACAAGGUACC
Molecule: ribosomal RNA, 247 nt
Filed under: uncultured bacterium
Lineage: Bacteria
Description: partial 16S ribosomal RNA
Rfam family: Bacterial small subunit ribosomal RNA
Source: RNAcentral